GCCCUUAGAGUUUGAUCCUGGCUCAGGAUGAACGCUAGCGGCAGGCUUAACACAUGCAAGUCGAGGGGUAACAGGGAUUGCUUGCAAUCCGCUGACGACCGGCGCACGGGUGCGUAACGCGUAUGCAACCUACCUUCUACAGGGGGAUAGUCAAUAGAAAUGUUGAAUAACACCCCAUACGAUCUUUGAAUAGCAUUAUUUAAAGAAGAAAGUUCCGGCGGUAGAAGAUGGGCAUGCGUCCUAUUAGUUAGUUGGAGAGGUAACGGCUCCCCAAGACAUCGAUAGGUAGGGGUCCUGAGAGGGAGACCCCCCACACUGGUACUGAGACACGGACCAGACUCCUACGGGAGGCAGCAGUGAGGAAUAUUGGACAAUGGAGGCAACUCUGAUCCAGCCAUGCCGCGUGCAGGAAGACUGCCCUAUGGGUUGUAAACUGCUUUUAUACAGGAAGAAAUGUACCUACGUGUAGGUAUUUGACGGUACUGUACGAAUAAGGAUCGGCUAACUCCGUGCCAGCAGCCGCGGUAAUAAGGGCG
This 536-nucleotide ribosomal RNA is filed under the name uncultured bacterium. RNAcentral's name for it is "bacterial SSU rRNA". It matches the Rfam family "Bacterial small subunit ribosomal RNA", at positions 1 to 531 of the family's 1533-position model. The record is from RNAcentral.